GACGGAGGGUGCAAGCGUUGUUCGGAAUUAUUGGGCGUAAAGAGCGUGUAGGCGGCCGGUUAAGUCAGGUGUGAAAGCCCGGGGCUCAACCUCGGAAGUGCACUUGAAACUGGUCGGCUUGAGUUCGGGAGAGGGAAGCGGAAUUCCGGGUGUAGAGGUGAAAUUCGUAGAUAUCCGGAGGAACAUCGGUGGCGAAGGCGGCUUCCUGGACCAACACUGACGCUGAGGUGCGAAAGCGUGGGGAGCAAACAGG
This 253-nucleotide ribosomal RNA is filed under the name uncultured bacterium. RNAcentral describes it as "partial 16S ribosomal RNA". It matches the Rfam family "Bacterial small subunit ribosomal RNA", at positions 524 to 776 of the family's 1533-position model. The record is from RNAcentral.